CCAGUCUACUAUGACUAUAGCUUUUAUAGUCGGCACAUGUGGUAGCUUGCUACCAGAUGACGAGCGGCGGACGGGUGAGUAAUGCUUAGGAAUCUACCUAGUAGUGGGGGAUAGCUCGGGGAAACUCGAAUUAAUACCGCAUACGUCCUACGGGAGAAAGCAGGGGAUCUUUGGACCUUGCGCUAUUAGAUGAGCCUAAGUCGGAUUAGCUAGUUGGUGGGGUAAAGGCCUACCAAGGCGACGAUCUGUAGCUGGUCUGAGAGGAUGAUCAGCCACACCGGGACUGAGACACGGCCCGGACUCCUACGGGAGGCAGCAGUGGGGAAUAUUGGACAAUGGGGGGAACCCUGAUCCAGCCAUGCCGCGGGUGUGAAGAAGGCCUUGGUGUAAGCACUUUAAGCAAUGAGAGAAGUUAUGGUUAAUACCAUAAUGGAUGACAUAGCUGCAGAAUAAGCACGGCUACUCUGUGCAGCAGCCGCGUAAUACAGAGGGUGCGAGCGUAAUCGGAAUUACUGGGCGUAAAGCGAGCGUAGGUGGCUUAAUAAGUCAGAUGUGAAAUCCCCGGGCUUAACUGGGAACUGCAUCUGAAACUGUCGGCUAGAGUAGGUGAGAGGGAAGUAGAAUUCCAGGUGUAGCGGUGAAAUGCGUAGAGAUCUGGAGGAAUACCGAUGGCGAAGGCAGCUUCCUGGCAUCAUACUGACACUGAGGUUCGAAAGCGUGGGUAGCAAACAGGAUUAGAUACCCUGGUAGUCCACGCCGUAAACGAUGUCUACUAGUCGUUGGGUCCCUUGAGGACUUAGUGACGCAGCUAACGCAAUAAGUAGACCGCCUGGGGAGUACGGCCGCAAGGUUAAAACUCAAAUGAAUUGACGGGGGCCCGCACAAGCGGUGGAGCAUGUGGUUUAAUUCGAUGCAACGCGAAGAACCUUACCUGGUCUUGACAUACACAGAAUCUGUAGAGAUACGAGAGUGCCUUCAGGAAGUGAAAUACAGGUGCUGCAUGGCUGUCGUCAGCUCGUGUCGUGAAUGUUGGAUAGUCCCGCAACGAGCGCAACCCUUUUCCUUAGUUACCAGCACUUCGGGUGGGAACUCUAAGGAUACUGCCAGUGACAAACUGGAGGAAGGCGGGGACGACGUCAAGUCAUCAUGGCCCUUACGACCAGGGCUACACACGUGCUACAAUGGUAGGUACAGAGGGCAGCUACACAGCGAUGUGAUGCGAAUCUCAAAAAGCCUAUCGUAGUCCAGAUUGGAGUCUGCAACUCGACUCCAUGAAGUAGGAAUCGCUAGUAAUCGCGGAUCAGAAUGCCGCGGUGAAUACGUUCCCGGGCCUUGUACACACCGCCCGUCACACCAUGGGAGUUGAUUGCACCAGAAGUGGAUAGCCGAACUAACAGAGUACGCCAUGCAUAGUUGAC
Molecule: ribosomal RNA, 1418 nt
Filed under: Psychrobacter aestuarii
Lineage: Bacteria; Pseudomonadati; Pseudomonadota; Gammaproteobacteria; Moraxellales; Moraxellaceae
Description: bacterial SSU rRNA
Rfam family: Bacterial small subunit ribosomal RNA
Source: RNAcentral